RNAcentral lists this ribosomal RNA (995 nucleotides) under uncultured bacterium. RNAcentral describes it as "bacterial SSU rRNA". It matches the Rfam family "Bacterial small subunit ribosomal RNA", at positions 358 to 1375 of the family's 1533-position model. The record is from RNAcentral.
GGAAUUUUGCGCAAUGGGGGAAACCCUGACGCAGCAACGCCGCGUGCGGGACGAAGGCCUUCGGGUUGUAAACCGCUUUCAGCAGGGAAUAUAGUGAAGGUACCUGUUCAGAAAGCUCCGGCUAACUACGUGCCAGCAGCCGCGGUAAUACGUAGGGAGCGAGCGUUGUCCGGAAUUACUGGGUGUAAAGGGAGUGUAGGCGGGACGGCAAGUCAGAUGUGAAAUUUAGGGGCUCAACCCCUGACCUGCAUUUGAAACUGCUGUUCUUGAGUGAAGUAGAGGUAAGCGGAAUUCCUAGUGUAGCGGUGAAAUGCGUAGAUAUUAGGAGGAACAUCAGUGGCGAAGGCGGCUUACUGGGCUUUAACUGACGCUGAGGCUCGAAAGCGUGGGGAGCAAACAGGAUUAGAUACCCUGGUAGUCCACGCCGUAAACGAUGAUUACUAGGUGUGGGGGGACUGACCCCUUCCGUGCCGCAGUUAACACAAUAAGUAAUCCACCUGGGGAGUACGGUCGCAAGACUGAAACUCAAAGGAAUUGACGGGGGCCCGCACAAGCAGUGGAGUAUGUGGAUUAAUUCGAAGCAACGCGAAGAACCUUACCAGGUCUUGACAUCGAUCGAAUCCGAAAGAGAUUUUGGAGUGCCCUUCGGGGAACGUGAAGACAGGUGGUGCAUGGUUGUCGUCAGCUCGUGUCGUGAGAUGUUGGGUUAAGUCCCGCAACGAGCGCAACCCUUAUGUUUAGUUGCUACGCAAGAGCACUCUAGACAGACUGCCGUUGACAAAACGGAGGAAGGUGGGGAUGACGUCAAAUCAUCAUGCCCCUUAUGACCUGGGCCUCACACGUACUACAAUGGCUGUAAACAGAGGGAAGCUAAGCAGUGAUGUGGAGCAAAUCCCCAAAAGCAGUCUUAGUUCGGAUUGUAGGCUGCAACCCGCCUACAUGAAGUCGGAAUUGCUAGUAAUCGCGGAUCAGCAUGCCGCGGUGAAUACGUUCCC